RNAcentral lists this ribosomal RNA (498 nucleotides) under uncultured bacterium. RNAcentral's name for it is "partial 16S ribosomal RNA". It matches the Rfam family "Bacterial small subunit ribosomal RNA", at positions 28 to 508 of the family's 1533-position model. The record is from RNAcentral.
GAUGAACGCUGGCGGCGUGCCUAAUACAUGCAAGUCGAGCGAACGGGCGAGAAGCUUGCUUCUCUGAUGUUAGCGGCGGACGGGUGAGUAACACGUGGAUAACCUACCUAUAAGACUGGGAUAACUUCGGGAAACCGGAGCUAAUACCGGAUAAUAUUUUGAACCGCAUGGUUCAAAAGUGAAAGACGGUCUUGCUGUCACUUAUAGAUGGAUCCGCGCUGCAUUAGCUAGUUGGUAAGGUAACGGCUUACCAAGGCAACGAUGCAUAGCCGACCUGAGAGGGUGAUCGGCCACACUGGAACUGAGACACGGUCCAGACUCCUACGGGAGGCAGCAGUAGGGAAUCUUCCGCAAUAGGCGAAAGCCUGACGGAGCAACGCCGCGUGAGUGAUGAAGGUCUUCGGAUCGUAAAACUCUGUUAUUAGGGAAGAACAUAUGUGUAAGUAACUGUGCACAUCUUGACGGUACCUAAUCAGAAAGCCACGGCUAACUACGUGC